This is a long non-coding RNA of Arachis duranensis, 262 nucleotides long. RefSeq lists it as uncharacterized. The transcript is spliced from 3 exons. NCBI's taxonomy places the organism in Eukaryota, Viridiplantae, Streptophyta, Magnoliopsida, Fabales, Fabaceae. The record is from RefSeq and is a predicted model, not a curated record.
GAAAAAGAAAUAAUAAAAAGUGAUCAACACAAGAUGAUCUUCGUUCAUCAACGCAUAAAAACACACGGCACCCCCUCCAAACUCUGAUUUGAGUCUUCCAACUCACCGAUUCGGAUUUCGGUUGGUUGGUGCUUCUGAUUGAUUUGUUUGUGGGAAGAUGCAUCCUCCCUUAACGUUACACAAGCACCCAAUGUGCGCUGAAAUUAUUGAGCUGUUCCAGAAAUGUCAUGUGGAACACCCUCUUGGAAAAUUCUUUAGUGAA